RNAcentral lists this ribosomal RNA (1377 nucleotides) under uncultured bacterium. RNAcentral describes it as "bacterial SSU rRNA". It matches the Rfam family "Bacterial small subunit ribosomal RNA". The record is from RNAcentral.
AGAGUUUGAUCCUGGCUCAGAGUGAACGCUGGCGGCGUGCCUAAUACAUGCAAGUCGAACGGACAAGUAAGAGCUUGCUCUUAUGAGUUAGUGGCGCACGGGUGAGUAAUGUAUAGUUAAUCUGCCCUACACUGGAGGACAACAGUUAGAAAUGACUGCUAAUACUCCAUACUCCUUCUUAACACAAGUUAAGUCGGGAAAGUUUUUUCGGUGUAGGAUGAGACUAUAUUGUAUCAGCUAGUUGGUGAGGUAAUGGCUCACCAAGGCUAUGACGCAUAACUGGUCUGAGAGGAUGAUCAGUCACACUGGAACUGAGACACGGUCCAGACUCCUACGGGAGGCAGCAGUAGGGAAUAUUGCUCAAUGGGGGAAACCCUGAAGCAGCAACGCCGCGUGGAGGAUGACACUUUUCGGAGCGUAAACUCCUUUUGUUAGGGAAGAACAAUGACGGUACCUAACGAAUAAGCACCGGCUAACUCCGUGCCAGCAGCCGCGGUAAUACGGAGGGUGCAAGCGUUACUCGGAAUCACUGGGCGUAAAGGACGCGUAGGCGGAUUAUCAAGUCUUUUGUGAAAUCUAAUGGCUCAACCAUUAAACUGCUUGAGAAACUGAUAAUCUAGAGUGAGGGAGAGGCAGAUGGAAUUGGUGGUGUAGGGGUAAAAUCCGUAGAGAUCACCAGGAAUACCCAUUGCGAAGGCGAUCUGCUGGAACUUAACUGACGCUAAUGCGUGAAAGCGUGGGGAGCAAACAGGAUUAGAUACCCUGGUAGUCCACGCCCUAAACGAUGUAUACUAGUUGUUGCUGUGCUAGUCAUGGCAGUAAUGCACCUAACGGAUUAAGUAUACCGCCUGGGGAGUACGGUCGCAAGAUUAAAACUCAAAGGAAUAGACGGGGACCCGCACAAGCGGUGGAGCAUGUGGUUUAAUUCGAAGAUACGCGAAGAACCUUACCUGGGCUUGAUAUCCUAAGAACCUUGUAGAGAUACGAGGGUGCUAGCUUGCUAGAACUUAGUGACAGGUGCUGCACGGCUGUCGUCAGCUCGUGUCGUGAGAUGUUCGGUUAAGUCCGGCAACGAGCGCAACCCACGUAUUUAGUUGCUAACAGUUCGGCUGAGCACUCUAAAUAUACUGCCUUCGUAAGGAGGAGGAAGGUGUGGACGACGUCAAGUCAUCAUGGCCCUUAUGCCCAGGGCGACACACGUGCUACAAUGGCAUAUACAAUGAGACGCAAUAUCGCGAGAUGGAGCAAAUCUAUAAAAUAUGUCCCAGUUCGGAUUGUUCUCUGCAACUCGAGAGCAUGAAGCCGGAAUCUCUAGUAAUCGUAGAUCAGCCAUGCUACGGUGAAUACGUUCCCGGGUCUUGUACUCACCGCCCGUCA